Molecule: non-coding RNA, 76 nt
Organism: Trichonephila clavipes
Lineage: Eukaryota; Metazoa; Arthropoda; Arachnida; Araneae; Nephilidae
Source: the annotation of a GenBank genome assembly
GUCUUCCAGCUAGUAUAAGGGCUAUGAAAUUGGGCUUGUAACCCAGUGGGUUCGGGUGCGAAUCCCGAGUAAGACG